CAAGGAUGGGUGACCUCAUGGGAAGUCCUCGUGUUGCAUUCCC
Molecule: ribosomal RNA, 43 nt
Filed under: Triticum aestivum (bread wheat)
Lineage: Eukaryota; Viridiplantae; Streptophyta; Magnoliopsida; Poales; Poaceae
Source: RNAcentral